UGGGGAAUAUUGGACAAUGGGCGAAAGCCUGAUCCAGCCAUGCCGCGUGUGUGAAGAAGGUCUUCGGAUUGUAAAGCACUUUAAGUUGGGAGGAAGGGCAGUAAGCGAAUACCUUGCUGUUUUGACGUUACCGACAGAAUAAGCACCGGCUAACUCUGUGCCAGCAGCCGCGGUAAUACAGAGGGUGCAAGCGUUAAUCGGAAUUACUGGGCGUAAAGCGCGCGUAGGUGGUUCGUUAAGUUGAAUGUGAAAGCCCCGGGCUCAACCUGGGAACUGCAUCCAAAACUGGCGAGCUAGAGUAGGGCAGAGGGUGGUGGAAUUUCCUGUGUAGCGGUGAAAUGCGUAGAUAUGGGAAGGAACACCAGUGGCGAAGGCGACCACCUGGGAUCAUACUGAAACUGAGGUGCGAAAGCGUGGGGAGCAAACAGG
RNAcentral lists this ribosomal RNA (429 nucleotides) under Pseudomonadota bacterium. Its description in RNAcentral is "Proteobacteria bacterium partial 16S ribosomal RNA". It matches the Rfam family "Bacterial small subunit ribosomal RNA", at positions 355 to 776 of the family's 1533-position model. Lineage: Bacteria; Pseudomonadati; Pseudomonadota. The record is from RNAcentral.